This 5650-nucleotide long non-coding RNA is filed under the name Nicotiana benthamiana. RNAcentral's name for it is "long non-coding RNA (NBEN_LNC032862)". Lineage: Eukaryota; Viridiplantae; Streptophyta; Magnoliopsida; Solanales; Solanaceae. The record is from RNAcentral.
AGGAACCAUCUUCAUUAUCUCCUUCUUCUUCGGAAUCAAAGGCUUCAACAUUCUUCCUCUUAGAAGAAGAUACGCUUAAAAUUUGCUCCUAUGCAAAGCUAACAGAAAGCCCAGUAGAAGGAACACAAGUGCGGCUAAUACCACAAAUGGAAAACCCUAGAAACAAAAAAAAAACAAAAGGUAUUAAAGGAAAGGAAAAAGAAUAAAGGGAAAGAAAACCAUGGUAAUAAAAAAUAACAUCGCGAGUCUUCACUUUCCAUCCAAAUUUUUAAGAAAGAAAUAUCCAUGAUCUCUGGUCCAUGGGAGCCACAGUCAAUAUUUUUUCUAUCCAGUCACAGAAGACUGGGAUUUCUCUGAAAACUUCCAUGAUUGCUAAAAUACAAACAUAAAUGUAUGCGAGAAAAAUUGAAACAUUGAGAGAAACCAGGAAAUAAAGAAAAUUAGGCGUAAAGUUCCACUUCUCAGGGAAGAGCACAUUAUCAUCACGCACUAAGUCAUGAGUUGGAACAGUUACAAACUGGGUAUACUAACCACGAUCAUAGUCAUCCUCGAGGCUGACCAAAACUCUCUUGCUUCUUUCCACAAGAGAGAAAAACACCCUUGCGAAAGAGCUUUGGGAGUAUAAAUGGAGUAAGUGACGAAAAUUUAGAAGGAACCGAAACCAAAUUUGACGAAUAAUGAAGGCAAGAUACUGUCCUCAACAUGAUCAAACCUAUUUGGCCAAGGCAAACAUUGAAGUAACGGCAAAAUUCAAUGAUUAUUGGGUCAAUAGGAGGGUUGAAUCCUAAAGUAAAAGGGUAGGCACAAACAAAAAAAAUAACAUUCACGAUAAGAGGUAAUUUUAUCAUAAGCACUAAGGGUCACCACUAAGAAAUUUGGUUCCCAAUUGUAUUUACGACGAACUAAUGGAAUGAGACCAGAAGUGAUCAUACUAGGGCUAAUGAUCAGCAUGGUUAAGUGAUGCUAUAGAAGAGACUUGUUUUCUCAUACAUUCACAAUCUGGUAUGAAAGAAAAUUCCUGAGGAACAAUCUCAGACACAGUGGGUUCUCACAUAGGUUCAUUGUGAUCUUUCCCUCUAGAGAAAGAUCUAGGGAUAGUGGAAGUUCUAGCUCUAGAGUGGGAAUGUUGGCAGUAUUCCUUUAAGAAAGGGUAGAACUAUGGUUAGAUAAAAAGCUUGAGCUACGAAGUCUGCCACCUUUUAUACUUCUAGUUGGGGCAGAAGAGGGGGACGUUCAUCAACAAUCACUACUUUACGAGAAUUCAAUGAUGAAGAAGGGUUUGAAGAACGGGAAAUAUCUCUAAUGGUGAAAACACAGAAAGAGGGACAACUAAAAGAAGAGUUAGAAUAUGAAUGCAAGAGAGAAGAAGACGUUUUCAAAGUUGAUUAUUAUACGAUAUUCAUAGGGAAAAAACCAUCAUUAGAAACUGCCAUUAUGAACUAUCAUCAUGAAGUCGUCACUUUGCAACUGAUGCAGUCCUAGAAAACCCUAAAAAGGCACUAAAAAUUACAAAACCAAUAACAACGAGACACGUGUCCUGGGCAUUAAAUAUACGUGACAUACGUCUCAUCGUUUCUGAAGAAAGAAUUAUGAUAGUUGGGAAGAGGCGUCAAGACAUUGCCACCAUAAAUGAACUUACCACUUCCCAGAUAUUCAGUUGAGAGUAUUCAGAAAGUAGGGGGAACUAUCUGUAUUGUGGAAAAAAGGCAUGACACGUGGGCCAACAUCGAGGUGACAAGUAGCACGUAUCAGUAUGUCAAUAAAGAAAGACAGAAAGGCAAUAUAAAAUACCCACGAUGUUAGAGUAGGUACCCGAUCUAACAACUGAAAAAAGGAAAUAGGCAUGGGAUGCGUUAGGACCAUAAAAGGGGAAGAUUCAUGAAUCGGUUGUAAGUAAGAGAAGAAGAUGAAAUUCAGUUGCUUUUUGCAUUGUUAUUCAUUUUGGAGAGAUAAAGGGGUAUUUAUAAACCCCUCUAGGUAUCCGUUAGAAUAAACAGACCCAAUAGUUGUCUACAUGCACCUUUUAAAAUCAAUAGCCAUGUUUUUAAUAUAAAUAAAAUUAUUAAAAAUGUUUUAAUAAUUAAAUAAAUAUUGUUAAUUGAAUAGUAAAAAUAAUAGGUAACUAAGAAUAUUAAUUUUUGACCACUUAAUUUGUCCAAGUGGUCCAAGUGUCCAAUCUUGACUAUUAAUAUUAUAACUAAAUUUUAGUUUCCCUAAACACUUCUUCCUUUUUCUAUUUUUCCAAGGAGGGGUAAGUAUCUCCUCCUAAAGUUGACACAUCAACACUAACUAAUCUAGCAACGACAAUAACAAUAGCAAUAUGCCUAGUAAAAUCUCACACGUGUGGUUUGGAGAGGGCAAUAUGCACACAGACCCUACACCUAUCUUGUGAAGGUAGAUAGACUAUUUAUGAUAGACCUUCAAUUCAAGGGAAGCCUAAUCUCAGCAGUCAUAAGAAAAUAUGAUAGUGGAGAAGCAAUGAAAAAUGAAGCAGUAACAACAUUAAGAAAAAUAAGAUAUAACAGAAGCAAAAAUAACAGAUAGUAACUGAAAUAUGAAAAAAAGAAAAUACAGGAGUACCAACAAUAUUGUUGGUAUGGAGAUGAAAAACACGGGAUUACCUAUUAACCUACUAUCUUAUCCCUCGAUCUCCAUAACCUCCUAUUAAGGGUUAUGUCAUGCCUAAUCACAUCUUCCCGAUACCUUGUUCGCUUGCCUCUACCUCUCCUUCGUUCCAUCAUUACCAACCUCUCAAAGCUACUCAUGGAGAAUCUGUGGGUCUCCUCUUCACAUACUUCAACCACUUCAACUUCUAUUUUCGCAUCUUGUCCACCAUAGAGGUCAUUCUCCACCUUGUCCCGAAUGUCCUCAUUCCUAAUCAUAUCUCUCCUAGUAUUCUCACACAUCUAUUUCAGUAUCCUCUUUUAUGCUACUUCAUCUUUUGAACAUAAGAGUUCUUGUUAGGCCAAUACUCCGCCUCAUAUAAUAUAGUCGGUCGAACCACCACUCUAUAGAACUUACCUUUAAGUCUUGGUGGUGUCACACCUCCUUUUUCACUAUACACCCCCACAAAGGGGCGUAAAGGAGUUUUUCCACUUAAAGGACAAUCGGAACAGGAUUUAGUUUAUUAAUUAUUCAGAGUCGCCACUUGGGAGAUUAAUGGUGUCCCAAGUCACCGAUUUGAAUCCCGAACCGAGGAAAAAUAUGACUAUGUUACAGUCUGCGAACCAGAAAUCUGAGUAAGGAAUUCUGUUAACCCCGGAGAAGGUGUUAGGUAUUCCCGGGUUUCGUGGUUUUAGCAGGUCUCUUAACUAUUGUAUUUGGUUUUAUCUGAUUUUAUUACAUACUAACUUAUGUGCCUUUUAUUUAUAUACUGCUUUUACCAUUAUUUAUUUUAAAAGACUUGCGACGUCGUGAAAACACGUCUCUGACCACGUCACCAUUAAGGCACCCGUGGUUGUCAACACGUUUCGACUUCAUCGAGAUUUGGAUUUGGGUCACAUCAAUGCGCACCCGAGUUUAAGAAAGUAAUUUAAUUAAAUCGCACUUAAAGGUUCUAGCGUAAUAUUGUUUGGGANNNNNNNNNNNNNNNNNNNNNNNNNNNNNNNNNNNNNNNNNNNNNNNNNNNNNNNNNNNNNNNNNNNNNNNNNNNNNNNNNNNNNNNNNNNNNNNNNNNNNNNNNNNNNACCGUUGAAAUUCGCUAAACGACCCUUCCAAAUUCUAAUCAUUUUUAAUAACCAAUUAUUGAGGGCCCCACAAUUAUUCUUGUUCGGUGAGGCUCGUCUCCAUUUUUUAAACCAUAUUUAUCAUUAUUUGUUUUAUAAGAAUUGCAACAUCGUGAAAACGCGUUUAUAACCCCGUCGCCGUCAAGGCACCCGUGAUUAUUAAUGCAUUUCAACUUCGUCGAGAUUUGGAUUGGGGUUGCAUCAAUGCACACCCGAAUUUAGGAAAGUAAUUUAAUUAAAACGCGCCUAAAGAUUAUAUCGCAACAUUAUUUAGGGAAGGCCGUGAAAUUCGCUAAAAGACCAUCCCGAAUUCAAAAGAUUCUCAACCUUUAUUGAGGACCCCGCAAUUAUUUUUGUUUGGCGAGGCUCGUCUCAUUUUAUUUUAACAGGAUAAACCUAAGGGAUAACUAUAUUUUAUAUAUUUUUUUUAUUUUGUCUCUAAUAAAUAAAGAAAGAUCCUAAUUGAUUAUACUUAAAAUCAGGGCUUUAAGUUCAAGUUCGCGUCCAAACAAAAGGACGAACCUUUUAGUUUAAAACCCGCUACCUAACUCAAAACUCACAGCUGGCCAAAUAUCUAUAUUACGACAACGUCAUGUCCAGCUAUAACCCAUUCGAGUGACAUGCAAGUAAAUAACUAUAUGAAAAAAAAUCUCUAAACUUAAGAUAAUAACCGAAUAGAUCACAGUAUCAAAUCGUCACAUAACCAAUUAACAUUCAGCUAUAAUAAAACGAGUAGAAUCAAAUGCAAUGCCAUUAAGCCCAAUGCGCAAUAUACAGGGAAGGCCGAAUCUGAUUUUGAAGAAACUAUCCCUAUGUCAUCAAACUUUUACACUCAAUUUGCUGUAAAUUAUAAAGAAGAAUUAUCAAACAAAUAAAGGCAAUUACAUGCCUUUGUUGGCUGUUUCCUCCUCCAGAAAGUACACAUUGGAAAGAUCCCCAUGUAACAUUUUAAACACACGUAAAACAACAAUUCAAGCAGCUCAAUUACACGAAGUCAAAAUCAGCACUCCGUCGCUAGGAAUUUCUAAUUAUCCGAACAUUCUUUCAAUUAUAAAGGAACUUCACCCAGGUCAAAGAUCAUCUCAUUCAACUACAAAUAAUGGCUUUAGAAUGUGCAACUUCAGAUUCAGAAUAUGAACUAGAAAGAAUGAGAGAUGAAUCUUAGUUAAAUUAGACAAAAUUGAUUCACUCGACUAAAACCAUGUUUAAACAAAUUGGAGCCGUGGAAUCAGAAGCAGUAUGAAUCAAAAAACGGACCUCAAUGUCGACGUCAAUUCUGAUCAAUGACAGAACAUCCAGCAAAAUCUUAAACAAGCAAAUGAACCUACGAUCGGAGACCUCGGCAAGCGAACGGACUGACCGAACUUCGCCGGACGAACUUGAAUCUGACAGUAUCUCGGACGGAACCUCAAAUCGGCGGCAAAUCGGCCCUCUGACGACCUCUAAAUCAGCAAACUACAUCGGUAGCGAGACUCGAACACCACCGGAGAAAUCGAAAGGUUUGACUCCGAGUGGAUAGCGAUGUCGCAAAGAACUCGAAACAAACAGACCUCUCAAACGAACACCAUCAUUUAGGAAUCAAAAUUCAAACCGAAGAUGCAAAGCAAAAUUUCUGUUUUUCUACCCUUUUUUUUAAUGCAAACGCUGAACUGAAGUGCGUCAAUAGAAACCCAUUUCUGUAUGUAUUUUGCCUUCUAAAUUCUUAAUGAAAGUAGAAAAUUCAGAGAAGAAGCUAUUUCUAUGUGUGUCCUCAGAAUGAAGAUGAAGCAGAAUUUUUUAUCCUCCCUCCUCUCUAACGGAGAUUGACGUAUUUUGAAGGAAAACGUGAGGGGGGAGGCCCCCCCACAAUUGCACUGUUUUUGUAUUUUUCAGUGUCUCUUUUUUUUGCAAUUGUUUUCGUCCGUUUUCCCUUUUGUAAUUUUCUU